RNAcentral lists this ribosomal RNA (467 nucleotides) under uncultured Arcobacter sp. RNAcentral describes it as "bacterial SSU rRNA". It matches the Rfam family "Bacterial small subunit ribosomal RNA", at positions 29 to 505 of the family's 1533-position model. The record is from RNAcentral. Lineage: Bacteria; Pseudomonadati; Campylobacterota; Epsilonproteobacteria; Campylobacterales; Arcobacteraceae.
AGUGAACGCUGGCGGCGUGCUUAACACAUGCAAGUCGAACGAGAACGGGUUAUAGCUUGCUAUAACUGUCAGCUAAGUGGCGCACGGGUGAGUAAUGUAUAGUUAACCUGCCCUCUAGAAAGGAAUAACAGUUGGAAACGACUGCUAAUGCCCUAUAUGCCUUUAAGACAUAAGUCUGCAAGGGAAACGCUUUAGUGCUAGAGGAUGGGACUGUAUGGUAUCAGCUAGUUGGUGAGGUAAAGGCUCACCAAGGCAAUGACGCCUAACUGGUUUGAGAGGAUGAUCAGUCACACUGGAACUGAGACACGGUCCAGACUCCUACGGGAGGCAGCAGUGGGGAAUAUUGCACAAUGGAGGAAACUCUGAUGCAGCAACGCCGCGUGGAGGAUGACACUUUUCGGAGCGUAAACUCCUUUUAUAUAGGAAGAUAAUGACGGUACUAUAUGAAUAAGCACCGGCUAACUCCG